ACUGCCCUUAGAGACAUAGCAGGUUUGGAUACUGUGUCACAUGUGUGUCAGUAGGUGGCAAAGAGGAAAGAGGCUAUGUAUAUCUAUGCUCAGUGUUCUGACUUGUAACCAUCAGAAUGAUUAGUAGCCUAAGAUU
This 136-nucleotide small nucleolar RNA is filed under the name Mus pahari (shrew mouse). RNAcentral describes it as "predicted gene, 25756 (MGP_PahariEiJ_G0034171.1)". It matches the Rfam family "Small nucleolar RNA SNORA17". From Rfam's summary of the family: snoRNA ACA 17 belongs to the H/ACA family of snoRNAs and is predicted to guide pseudouridylation of the 28S rRNA at positions U4659 and U4598. It shares the same host gene together with ACA43. The record is from RNAcentral. Lineage: Eukaryota; Metazoa; Chordata; Mammalia; Rodentia; Muridae.